AAAAGUAUUAGUUAUCAGCAAAAAUGGGCACAAUACAGUUGUCAGGAAAAAAACCCGAAAAGAGUGAAAUGGGCAGAAAAGAGGAUGGGAUGUUCUGCUUAAUGUGUGCCAUUGAUUGUCUUUGAGUUAUUUUUCCGUGUACAUUUUCUAAAAGGAAUAAUGAAAAUGAUUCUUGUCCAUAGAAAUAGACCUAAAGGAAGGAAGUGGGAAGGGGCGCGGAGAGGGGGUGCUGGAUGCAGGCGGUGGGGGUGCGAACGGUUUCUUCUGCGAAAGAAUUAGAGGGCAUAAUAAGUACUCCUCGGAGGUGGCCAACUCGCUUUGCAAACUGUUUAGGGAUCCGAGGGUCGCUAGAGAAGAAGACCACGCAGCGCGGGCCCAGGUGCCAAGGGCGGGCGAGGGCGCAGCCCCGGGGGAGGAGACGCGGAGGGGACGCUGGCAGCUCCGGGGCGGGGCGCGGCGCGGCCAGAGCGGAGCAUGGAGGCGGCCGCGGCGGCGCGCGGAGCUGCAGCAGACCUUUACCCAGUGGAUAUUUUGGAAGAUGACCCCGAAGGGCAUCGGGAGGCAGCUCUGGCUUACUAUGCCUCGCUUAGGGCAGGCGUGCGGCCCUCAGCGGAGGUUUUCUCUCUUCCCACCGGGGAGCAGGUUAAACUCGAAGCUUCGUCUGUUUGCUUUUGCACCGUGCACCGUGAUGAACCUCAGCAGAAAAUAUUGGUCUUGGUUAAUCCCCAGGACACAAAGACAGUUGUGGCUGUUUACAUAAAGGAGAGCUGGUGGACCACCGAGGAUGUCCUGAGAACCUCUGAUCCUGCACGAGAAGGUCUGAUGAAGGUUCAGUCAUUUGGGGAAAGGAUUGUGCUUUUCAUUCUAAACGUCGUUAUUUUUGGAAGAUUGGAGAGAAAUUUGGAUGAUGAUGCCAUGUUUUUUUUACCUCACUCUGUGAAGGAGCAAGCUAAAAUUCUGUGGAGAGACGGAGCAGCUGUUGGAUUUUACACAACCAAAAUGAAAGGCAGCCUGUGUGGCAGUGGCACAGGUGCGUGCUACCUGCUGCCUGUCUUCGACACCGUGUUUGUGAGGAGGAGAUGCCGUCGCCAGGGCCUGGGCAUGGCCAUGCUGCGGGACUUCUGCGAGGCAUUCCGGGAUGAAGAGGCCCUGGGGCUCAGCUGCCCCGUCUCUCCUGCCAUGUACCAAGUCUGCAGGAAGUUCCUGUUGGCGUGGCCGGAGGAGCGAGGGCGCCUGUGGGAGGUGGAGCCCCCGGGAGCCUGGGGCCAGCGAGGCAACAUCUGGCUGAAGGUUCAGCUUCAACGGUCAAGCCUUCCAGACUGGAGUAAAAGGAAAAACACCACAGAUUGGCAAGGGACCUGCAGAAGGCUCAGAUGGAGGAAUAACAAUCUGCUGCGUUUGAGGACAUCGGGGCUGGGCGUGAACGAGCGGGCAUGUGGGCUGUGCGCAGCAGGCUGGGACCCGGUUUAGGGGCAACUCAAGGUCGGACGGAGCGCAGGACAGCUGUAGCGCCUGGGAACUUCGGAGACCCCACUGUGUGCGAGGCUCUCCUUGAAGAGUGAAUUUACUUGCGACUUUUGGUUUGUCUUCUGCCUCCUCCUCCAGUCUGUCAGCUCCAUGAGACUGUUGGUUUCCAUACCCACUGGGCUAGGACCUAGAGAAGCUUCUGGAACAUAACGGAUACUGGAGAACAUUGGAACAGGAAACUGAUCUACUGUCAGUAACGGCAGUGAGGGGGUGAGGAGAGCCCCUCAUUCUAUUUGCGCCGGAGGGAGGAUUUGGCGCUUUGUGCUUCUGAGACACGGGACCUCCUGGGCCUCCGUUUCCAUGGCAUCCAGCACACAGUGGGGCACAGCGAUCCUGAGGCAUAGGUAUUAUUAUUGAUUUCUGUGGAUGAGGAAAUCCAGGCUGCGAAGGGGUAAGUGACCGUCCAGUGUCACGUAGUUAGCAAGCCAGCCAGAUAGGGCUCACUUGUCUAAUGGCCAAAUCCUUGUCCCUUCAUCCACACCCUUCUGCUUCCCAAGUGAGUCAGCGCUGCAAGGAGCAGAGGGUGCGGACACGAGCAGUGUCUGCUUCGUCUGGUGUUGGCUAUGAAAUAAAACGGUGUGAACUCUCAGGUUCUCAGCUUGAAGAUACCAACAGUUGUCUCUGUUGAGACUUUUGAGGAUCACACUCUUUUGCAAAAUGGCCAAGCAAAUGAUAAAAAGACAAAGUACAUUCUAGUAUUGAGAUGAAUCUUCGCAAGGCACAGAAGCAUUUAAAUAAGAGAUUCCUGUGUAAGUUUCUACUUUGGACCUCAUGAGAAAGGAUAUAUGUAUUUGAAAAUUCUUUGGGUGGACUUGGGGUAGGAAAUUUGAAGGGUUUGCUAGAUUUAAAAGCUAGAAGCUUGAAAUAUGGGUAUCAUGGCUAAAAUAUGACAUAAAUUUCUUGAAAAGUGUUGGUUCUUGGAAUUGUUAGAAUGUCCAUAACAUAGCCCUGCAGUAGUUCAUGUUACUGGGUCCAGCCUCACUGUAUAUCACACUGUGUCAAAGCAUUCAUCCAUUGUCAGGCUAAUUUGGAAUAAAAUGUCCUAUUAAUUUAGAAAUGUGUCUCAGGACACACGUGUGGCUUUUGAAGGACAGCUCCCAACAACAUGCUCUAGAAACACAGAGAAAACUUCCUGCAUUGUGAACAAGUCUCUUGGAAGACCAGAGGCGCUGGUCAAGCGUGGAUUGCAGGGCUGGCUUCCCUUAUUCUCAGGAAGAAAGGAGGAAAGUGAGCAUUUGGCUUCUGCUAUUUCAAUUCUCACCACGACCUUCUAAGAUAGGUACUGUUUUCUCCACUUUGCCGCUGAGGAAACUGAGGCUCAGAGGGGUUAGCUCACACACUAGUGAACAAAAUAGCCAGGCUAGACCUGCCAUUGUGAUUCGAAGUCCGUUUUCUUGCUCCUGCACGAUAUGCUGAAUCUGCCGUCAUCUGGUUCUCGAGAACAAGUGGUCAAAUCAGGGACUGGAAAAUCUUGGCUUCCUCACACAUUUCCAUAGAUUUAUCUUCCACAUUCAUGUGUGUGUGUGUGUGUUUAUACACACAUUAGUGCUCACUAUUUAAUAUAUAUGAUGAAAGUGGAUCUUCCAUAUGCUAAUUAACUUUUUGAAAAUGUUCAUUUCCUACAUGAAACAUGCAAUUGUUGAAUAUCCACCCAAACUGAAGAAUGAGUUCCAGUGUGUUUAGCCAACUCAGUGACUCAUGAUCUCUUAGUGACAUAUAGGUAAGUGUAUACAGCUGGCAUGUUUCCAGCCCUUUGGACUCCACUGAGAAUUAGAAUUCAGAGGUAUGUUUCAACCUUUCUUGCCUUCCCACCACGACUAGCCCAGUUGUUUGUAUUCCCAGAAUGCUGAAAAGGUGGGGGAAUUUUAAAAGGUGGGGAAGAUUUUGUUGUAAUAUGGGCAAAUCCUUAAUUGGCCCUGCUAACCAGGUGGCUAAUUGAUGGACCACUGGAUUUCAAUGGUAUAAGCAGCAACUUAUAGUUAAAUAUUUGCACGUGUAUCUAAUUGCCUAUGCAAAAUUGUUCCUGCCAAAUAGAAGUCUGGUGGAGCCUUCAAAAUAACUUGGCAUUCAACAUGCAUUAAUAUUUCAAACCGUCACUAACACUUGCUGUAGAUCCAAUUUUACUAAUGUGCGUUUUUUUUAAACACCUCCCACUGCAGUGUGUAAUUUUUGAAUAUCUGUAGCAUGCUUAGAAUACUAUCCUAAGGUCCCGGGAACCAAGAAUACUGAUUGUGAAUUCACAGUGCCCACAUAACCAGCAGGAAAAAAACCCCCAAAUUUGUUAAACAACCAGUUGUUUUUUUUUUCUAAAUGAUGUAAAAAAACCCGAGUUAACUUCGUGCUACUUCCUUGGAGCAUGGAGAGCGACGGUCACUCGGCGCAAUGUCAUGUGGCUGAGGGCAUGGCAGCCGUGAUUCGGGCUUUGAGCCAUGAAUGAAGACCUUCAGGGAAGACGUGCGUUCCCUGCUCUGUGGAGCAGAGGGUUGCCAGAGCUUGCAGCGAUGCAGCAGGUGGGGGUUUGGGAGAGUUAUUUCCCCCGCCCCAGGACAGGUGGUGAGCUCAGAGCCCAGCGCUGAACCAUCCAAAGGCAUCCUGCAGGGUGGCAAGGGGCCAAGAUGAUCCAGGCAGAAGGAGGGAGGACAGAGCAGGCUUAGGGGACGCUAGGAGAUGGGCUUGGUGUCUGGCAAGUGCGGGGUCCAUGGGAGGUGCUAGGGAGCGAGGUUGGUGAAGACACAGGGACUUGAGAUCGUGGAAGAACUUGCAAGUCACACUAAGGACUGUGGACUUUAGCCUGAGGGAUUCAGCGGGCGACCCAUGCACUUGAACCACCAGGACGCUGUCUCUGAGAUGAGCAACUCGUGGGCUGUAGCACUGACACUGGGAGAACUUCAUUAACUCUGCCCAGAGCCUGGUGAGCGCCCGGCGAUCCAUGGACCACGAGGAGUAAAUCACCCCGCCCCUCGACCCUGGGGUCUUACCUCUGCAGAGAUUGUGAGGUUAAACGGAUUGGGAAACAUGAUUGGAAAUUAGAAUUCGAAAGCAAUAUUGGUGCAGCUAUACCCUCAGACAUGGCGGUGGCCACUCAUUUAUUUCAUUUAACAAAAUUUAUUUUGUUCGGUGGUUUCUCAACUAGACAAAGUGUCUGGAGACAUUUUUGGUCAUCAAAACUGGAGUGGGGGUGCUACUGGCAUUGCAUCUACUGGGUAGAGACCAGGAGUGCUGCUCAGCAUCCUGCAGGGCACAGGGCAGCCCCCCAACAAUUAUCCGGCCCCAAAUGUCAAUAGUGCUGAGCCUGGGAAACCUUGAUUCAGGGCCUGCUAGCUUCUGGACAUCGUGCCAAUUCCUGGGAAUAUUGAGGGAAAUUGGACUUAACUGGUGAUCUUGAAGAGCUUGUGAGCUACAGCAAGGACAGAGUUGCGCGCACACAGCUAGAGGUCACUGAAGAGCUGCGGGCUUGAGUUUCUAGAAACAGGAGCACCUCCCCUUGAGCCCAUGCAUGGACUAGGGUGUUUGCUUUGCCUUUUCUCACGUGAAAAAACAAGACACGUCCUUCCUGCCUCGCUGGGCCAGCUCCUCUUUCAGCCUGCAUGAAGGGAGACCAGCGAGGGCAAGUUGGAACGGGAAAAAAAAUUCCAGGGGAAAACAGCCAAGAAAAGAGAGGCCAAAUUUAGAGUGCUGUAGCUGUCCUUUAACUUGAUUUCUAAAUCACAUUUUAUCUGGAGAGGCAGGCAAGGACAUUGACUUAGUUUUUUGCAACCCAUGAGUUCUAGGUCAAAGCUGACACAUAGGAGGGGCUUGAUAAUCAUUUGUUGAGUUGGUUUGCAAUCUGGUCUUGCAUGAACUCUCCUACUCUCUCUGCUUGGUGCCCUCUCAGGGGGAAUAUUUUUACCAUGUCCAAGGUUUCCAGAUGGUGGUGUACCUCAUCCUACAGGGAGCAUGCCAUCACCAUCGAGAAGCAUCCUCUGAUGCUCUCAGCAACGCAUCCUCACGCUCCCUUUGGCCUGCUGUUGCCGUCAGGCUAGUUACUGAAGUCCCUGCUUCCUGCUGACUUUGUCGUGCUGUGGAGAGCAGGCUGCAGCUGCACUGCCAGCCGGGACCCUGACAGCUUCCCAGAUGCCUGUGCUCCAAGGACCAGGGUCCCUCCGAGGCUUGAAUGGAGGCUCCCACUGCAAGGGCUCCUGCAAACUCAAGUCUGCAGCCACCUGUCUGAGACCCCACUGGUUUCAGAGUCAUUUGCUGGCACUGAGUCACAGUAGCAGGUAGAGUGACAAGAUGGGGGAAGUGCGGAUGGACCCGGGGCCCAAACUGAGGCAAAAGAGUGACAUGAAUGGGGAAGAAGACGUAAAAAUUCCUGCACGCUGGAGAAAGAUUAUGCUGGCGGACCCGCUGGGUUCCCACUGAGCACAGUUGUAAUUGGAAUGUACUCUGCAAAGUUUAUUGGGUCCUGGAGCGACUUGUUACUGAACUGGUCAAUUAAUCUAUUUUUUUGUUUUUUAAUGAGUUAGGGGAUUUCCUUUAGCAGAAAAUCACCAGGAAGCAUGACCGAAUGCCCAGAGCUCAGGGAAAGGCUGGCCUUUCCUUCUAGAAAACUCUAUUCGACAAUUAAAGCAGGAAAUGGACUCCUCCUGCUACAGGUGGCGAUUGGACUGGGCUGGGAACCAAAGAGCAAGGAUCAAUCCUGCACAGAGGUGAGCACGGGCUCCCCAGGAGCCGAUUCCUCAAGCGGCGGCCUGAGUGUUCGGAAAUAAAGCCGUUGGUCUCCCUGCUGAGAGACAAAUGAUUUCUAUUUAAAAACCUGCUUGUUCCACGCAGCAACUCCCAGUGUAGCAAUAAUUAAUGAUAUAGGAAGGUUAAGAAAGACCUUCUGCCGGAAUCCCUCUGCUCCAGGCAUGAAAUUGGAUUAAAGUGAAGAUAAACUUAGACAUGAAAUCUGUUGAGGAAAUCAGUAAUUAUGUGGACACGCGCACAUUUGGAGCUAUUUGAGUAAGUCAGGUGGAUGAAGUGUCCGUAGUGCCGUCCCAGGCUUCGCUGUGGCCCAGCCCUUUGGGCCUCAGUGGCAAUGAACUGUCAGAGAAGAUGCUAACCAGGGCCUUGUACCCACCUUAGUCCCAACUCUGGAUUUAAUUUUUUUCCCAAAAUGAAGUUCCGUGGGCCUUUUGGAUACGCUCUAUGCUGGCUGCCUGCCUAAUAUGCAUUUCUCUUCUUCUUUGCUAACAGAUUUUUUUUUCAGGGGGACAAUGUACAGACCAAAAAGUCAUUUUCCAGGCAGUCUGGCUGUUGCGGGUGGCUGUGUGACAUGGUUCUGGCCAAAGAAACUUAAGUGGAAGUCUAUUGGGUGGGGCUUCUGGAAACAUUAUUUGUUUCCCCUGAUAUGAAGGGACAGAGUCAACUGACUGGCACGUGCCUUUAGCCCUUUGCCUUUUGCCCUCCCCUACUGCUCUUUUCCCUGCCUGGAACAGCAAUGGAAGAGCUGGAGGUUGGGCAGCCAUUUUGCAACCAUAAGGAUAAAAUUUCUGUCCUAAGGAUAGUGGAGAUGGCAGUGAGAAAGAGCCUGGCUCCGUUGUGGUUCCUUUGGGUAAAGAGGAAAGAGAAGGCCCAGCUGUUAGGCAUCUUAACUGAUCAAGCCCCAAGCCAUGAAGUUUAGAUUUAGAAUUAAAUCUCUUUUUUGACUUCAGGCAUAGAACAAAAGAAAAUCCAAUUGCCUGCAGCAUGGUGAUCCCAUCUGGACGACUCUGAGGCUUCCCGGGCCUUCCUUGAGGAAGAAGACGUGUGUCGCCUAUCUGGCCACUGAGAGCAUGAGCUGGACCCUGGGCUGACCUUGCUGAAAAUCAGACAGAGUAUUUAAUUGUGCAGGAUGCAGAAUCACAACCUAAAAUGAAUUCAAAGCUAUGGCAAGUGUCUCAUGUGAAAUUUAAGGUGUUCUUUGGGAAUGAGUGGGACCCUGAGGCCCGGUAUGGGGACAUCCGGAUGGAUUCAGAUGAAGCUGAUAAUACUGAAGUCCUGAGACACUUUGAUCCUUCCUUGUUGGUGGAAGAAGCUUGUCAUCCGUGUCUGAGGAGACCAGGCUCUUAUUGCUGCAGACACUGUAAUAAUCUCACCCAGGGAAGUGGCCUGGCGAGGGAGGCUACCUGCCCUCCCUAAAACCUAACCAACCACCUCUCGUUGCUCAGCAUGCUCCAGAGAGCAAGUACAAAGCCUGCACAGGAGGAAACAGCCUAUGUUUCAAAGGAAUUGCAAGGUUUUGAUAAUUUAUAUUACCAGAAACCUGGGGAGUUUGGGUAGUAAUGUAUUUUAAGUAUUUAAUGUAUUUAAAGAAGACAGGGUGUGACACUGGAGGACCAAAUUUCUUUUUAUGGUUGCACUUACCAGAGAGCCAGGAAAUUGUCUGUAACUAGAAUCGGCUCUCAUGGUUUGUCUGCUUGGAUGACUAAAGCUUAGACCCAGUGGUGGCCCGCGCUUAAUGGCAGUGAGAAGCCGGAACUUCCUUGGCAUAACAUUGAGGAAGGGAUCCUAAGUCUUAGGGAGAUGGGAAUGUUGCAGUGGACUUAUUUUGUGAAAACUUCACCCUCCUGUCCCCACUACAUCCCUUAAGAGAGCCCAGGGCACCUUCCCCUGUUAGGGGUCUGAGAAAUGCAGGGGUGAGGGGAGCACUAGCGUUGAUGAUGGGAGCCGUUUGAUGACAGGACAUGCUGCCGCUCAGGGGGGCUCUCGGGCUUCCCUGGGGACGAUGGGACUCCAGAACAGCAGAGGUCAAGUGCAACCCUUACCUCCAGAGACAAGGUGGGCUGUGCUGGAACAGAUGGCAUGCCCCCACCAGGGUCUUCAGCGGCGGCUAAUGAUCACAUGGCAUCCUUAAGAAUGAAAUAGAUGGGCAGCCUACUAAAAUGUAUCUGUGUUAUGGGGGACACUCCAGGUCUGCUGGCCACAGGUGCCAGAGUAGAGAGUCUGGUCUCUCACUCCAAUCCUGGGCCUAAGCCAGCGCUCAGAUCCGGAGCCCCUGGAUUGAGGGGAGGUAGGGUCCCCUUGAGGACAGUUACACUGUCACAAGUAUAGCCUGUAAAUCUUCCUCCAAGCCUUCUCUAAAGGGACAUGGGGUCAUUGCCAAGGGUGAUGCCACACUGAGGGAAGAGAAGUACAUAGGCCCUUCAGGAUUUCCUGACUCUGAAUUGAUGCCAAUUCCCAGGGACCCAAAAUGCCACUGGGAUCCCCUUGUCAAAGUAGGGGCUUAUGGUGUUCAGUUUAUAAAUGGAGAACUGAGCCAAGUUCUAAUCACAGGGGUCCCAGGAGGUCUGUGAACUCAUGCUGCGGUUGUCUCUCCAGUUCCAGAAGAUAAAAUCAGGACAUAGGUACUCAGCAGUGGGCAGAAUUCAUAAACGAACUCUUUAUGCUGGGAAGUCUCUGGAACUUCCCCUUCCCACUUCAGUAGUAAACCAAAAGCUACACCGCAGUCCCGACUCUGAUCUGACACGAGUGCCACCCCAGAAGACUUGAAGAUGUAAGCGAUGCUUGCUGCAUACUUGCUACAGUCCCACGUAACUCACUUUUUGGUCUGUGCAUGCGGUGGCUGGAUCCUGGAGAAGGAGUGUGAACAAUCCUGUAUUUAAUCGAGUGGCGACUUCCAGUGCAGCUGCUGUUCCAGAUGUGGUGUUUUAUUUUGGAGCAAAUCAACACAGCUCCUGAUACUGGUAUGUGGCUGUUGACCAGAUAAAGGCUUUUUCUCUAGCCUAUUUGCAAAGGCAAUCAGAAGAUUGCUUUUACCUUACGGGGCCAAAUCAUACCUGACUGAUACAGUGUGUUAUAGUCCACCUUGAAAGUUUUUAAAAAUAAAAAUAAUACAACUCCUACCUCUACAAAUAAAAUCACAAUUCUCUGUGUUGUUAAUGUCUCAUGAGAAACUGGCUGGAGAGAUUUUCAUUGGAAUCAGAAGGUGUGUUUGAGAUGGUUUAACUUCAAAGAUGGGUGGCAUAGAAUGACAACAUUUACUUCGGGGGCCAGGGAGCAUGUCACUAAGGUAGGUGCCUUCAAUUAUGAUACACUAAGAGGCCUGCCCACUGCCAGCCAGGACACACAGCUGUGUAUUCAUGGGCCGUCGGUGGGGAAAACAAACCGCGUGUCUGCGUACAGGCCCUUGUGCAGAGCAUCCGAAUUUCGGGCUCUGGGUCAGGAUCAAGCUGCUGCUCACAACCACAUCCCAGUGCUGGGUGCUCCAGAGCCAGGCGCGCAGGGCUUCAUUUCAUGAUGGCGCUUGACGCUGGAGCAGCUCUGGGCAGGCUUGGCUUGCGAGUGACUUGGUCAAAGCUUUCGAGAGUUAGGCAGGGGCCAGCAGCACGCCGUUUUAAUUACACACCAUCUGGACUAACCAGAACAAACAAACAUGCCUAUCAGAGCCCGUUAGAGACUGUCCUAUGCAGGAUGCGCUCUCCUUUUUGAUGGAGCCAGUGGAAGAGUUAGAGGCUGGGAGACAGCUCUCAAGCAGUUAGACUGACCUCAUACCCAAAGCAGGAGUAAGUCUGCAAAAUGCAAAACUGUGCACAUAACCACCAGUGAGAAAGGAUGGGAGGCACCUUCAUCUCCUCACCUUUGGAUUUGAAAGCGAUUCCUUUGACUUCCAUAACCCUUAGGGGUUCCCUGCAUCUUAGUUCCUACCGCACUGUUCUGUCUUUAUACUGGGGCCGGUCCAGUG
Non-coding RNA from Equus caballus (horse), 10210 nucleotides. NCBI's taxonomy places the organism in Eukaryota, Metazoa, Chordata, Mammalia, Perissodactyla, Equidae. The record is from RefSeq and is a predicted model, not a curated record.